UACGUAGGGGGCAAGCGUUUAUCAGAAUCACUGGGCUUAAAGGGCGUGUAGGCGGAAUGGUAGGUCCCUCGUGAAAGCCCCCGUCUCAAUCGGGGAAUUGCGGGGGAAACCCUCAUUCUUGAGGCAGGUAGAGGCGACUGGAACGUGUGGUGGAGCGGUGAAAUGCGUAGAUAUCACACGGAACGCCGGUGGUGAAAACGAGUCGCUGGGCCUGUCCUGACGCUGAGACGCGAAAGCGUGGGGAGCAAACAGG
RNAcentral lists this ribosomal RNA (253 nucleotides) under uncultured bacterium. RNAcentral's name for it is "partial 16S ribosomal RNA". It matches the Rfam family "Bacterial small subunit ribosomal RNA", at positions 524 to 776 of the family's 1533-position model. The record is from RNAcentral.